RNAcentral lists this long non-coding RNA (315 nucleotides) under Vigna radiata. RNAcentral describes it as "long non-coding RNA (VRAD_LNC004651)". Lineage: Eukaryota; Viridiplantae; Streptophyta; Magnoliopsida; Fabales; Fabaceae. The record is from RNAcentral.
CUUCAUUUGGUCCGAUUAUCCUCUUGGGCUUUCUUCCCUUGGGCCGUGGAGCUCGCGUCAAUGCUUCACUGCAACACUUCUUCUUUUGCGCUUGAGGAACCCUAGCUCGAGGGUUGAGAGAAUUUAGGGAAAGAAACUUCAAUUGAUUUUACUCCUUUUUGCACAAAUGACAAGGACUCAGCAGCUCUGCCCUAUUUUCGUAGCAUGAAACGCUACGUUUCAUUUUCUCAGCAUAAAGGCUUCAGUCCAACUCCAGCCCAUAUUAAAUCAACGUUUGCCCAUGUUAUUUCAACACCAACAGAGUCUUCUUUUCUA